RNAcentral lists this long non-coding RNA (1430 nucleotides) under Canis lupus familiaris (dog). RNAcentral describes it as "lncRNA (ENSCAFG00000053692.1, ENSCAFG00805023315.1)". Lineage: Eukaryota; Metazoa; Chordata; Mammalia; Carnivora; Canidae. The record is from RNAcentral.
AAUGGAGUAAAAUAUGAAGAUCUAAAUGACUGUAUUGAUGAUUCAUGAAUUGGGUAGCAUCCCAUCUUAGCAGAUACAAAGGAGUUCUGAGGAGCUGUACAGAACAGAAGCCUCUUAUAGCCUCUUAUAGGAAGAGAAGGGAAGUUUCUAGCAAAGGCAAGUUUACCUUCCUUUGGGGGAAAGCAGAGGAGAGGCAUCUGUUGGGCAGAUUAUCUCCCAAGGGCUGACCAGAUCAAUCCAGAUCGAUGGGGCAAAGGUCAUACUUUGGUGGGAGGUGUGGAAACCCCAAUUCGAUCAGGUAUUAAGUCUUGGUUUGCUGAUGUGGAGCUUAGCACAAGUGACUCCAUUUUGGACCUGUUUCUUUUUUAGCAGACUCAAUGGAGCGGCGCCCCUAGUUCAGGGGAAGACUCCAUGAUCUCCCAUAGGUCUUCAAGUUCAGAGGCAAACCCCACCAUCCAGCCCAGCUCCAGCUCCACAAGUCCAGGGUUGGCGCCCACCUUCCCACAACCAGAAACAGUCACCCCCUCCCAGUUCUGGCUCCCCCAGUUCAGAGCUCACCACUACCUCCCACUCCGCAAAUUUCCACCAACUUGACCCUGCAUUGGAGCUCCUCUUCUCCCAGCCCCAGAACAGAGCCCCCCUCCAUGCCCUCCAACACCACUGAUGGGACCUCUGUGGCCACUGGCCCUGGGAGCUGCGAGCCAAAGCUCAUCUUUUGCCCAUCACCCACCAGAGUGAUCUCCAUGGGGCUGAGAAGGAGGGGCGCUUGGAUGGAGCAGGCGCACCUGGGAGGGGCUAGCCUUGCCAGAAUAAAGCCCUUACUGUUCCUCUGUGGCCUCCUGAGUCAUGGACUCCUGUGACAAACAUUUCUGGGUGCCUACUAUGUGCUGGGGUCAGAGUGGGGACCAUUUCUCUACCCUCAUGGGGCCCAUAGUUUCAAAGGUGGGGACAGACGAUAGCCAGGGGCUCAAAUGACAUCAUUUCAGAUGGCACAGAGGGUCAUGGAGUCACAGAUUGGGGCUGUGGCCGCAUCCCAAGGGCCUAUGUGUGCAGGUUUUUUGAGAGGGUGGAGAGGGCUUGAUAUUUCAACCAAGACCUGAGAGGUGGGAAGGACCCUCCUUGGAGAAAGUUGAGAGAACGGGCGUCCCAGGAAGCAGGCACAGCAAGCACAAAGGCCCUGUGGUAGGAAGAACUUGAAAUAUUUGGGAAACGACAAAGAAGUGAGUGGAGUCAGAGUAGGGUGAGGGAGAGGUGAGUGGGGCACUGCACUGGCUAGGGGUUUUAGCCCAAACAUCGCCAGCCAGUAAGUUCCACAAUCUGGUAGGUCUUCCUUCAAGUCUUUGGGAGGGCAGAUUGGCAGGGGGAGAAGGCUUUCCUGGGGCAGGAACAACCUGUGCAAAGGCUUGGAGGCAGGAAGGCACCAGAAGCAG